This 253-nucleotide ribosomal RNA is filed under the name uncultured bacterium. RNAcentral describes it as "partial 16S ribosomal RNA". It matches the Rfam family "Bacterial small subunit ribosomal RNA", at positions 524 to 776 of the family's 1533-position model. The record is from RNAcentral.
AACGUAGGACGCAAGCGUUAUCCGGAGUUACUGGGCGUAAAGCGCGGGCAGGCGGCUCGAUGCGUCUGAUGUGAAAUCUCCUCGCUCAACGGGGAGAGGCCAUUGGAAACGGUCGAGCUGGAGGGCAGUAGAGGUAGGCGGAAUUCCGGGUGGAGUGGUGAAAUGCGUAGAGAUCCGGAGGAACACCAGAGGCGAAGGCGGCCUACUGGGCUGAACCUGACGCUGAGCCGCGAAAGCCAGGGGAGCGAACGGG